RNAcentral lists this ribosomal RNA (489 nucleotides) under uncultured bacterium. Its description in RNAcentral is "partial 16S ribosomal RNA". It matches the Rfam family "Bacterial small subunit ribosomal RNA", at positions 30 to 506 of the family's 1533-position model. The record is from RNAcentral.
AUUGAACGCUGGCGGCAGGCCUAACACAUGCAAGUCGAACGGUAACAGGAAGCAGCUUGCUGCUUCGCUGACGUGUGGCGGACGGGUGAGUAAUGUCUGGGAAACUGCCUGAUGGAGGGGGAUAACUACUGGAAACGGUAGCUAAUACCGCAUAACGUCGCAAGACCAAAGAGGGGGACCUUAGGGCCUCUUGCCAUCGGAUGUGCCCAGAUGGGAUUAGCUAGUAGGUGGGGUAACGGCUCACCUAGGCGACGAUCCCUAGCUGGUCUGAGAGGAUGACCAGCCACACUGGAACUGAGACACGGUCCAGACUCCUACGGGAGGCAGCAGUGGGGAAUAUUGCACAAUGGGCGCAAGCCUGAUGCAGCCAUGCCGCGUGUAUGAAGAAGGCCUUCGGGUUGUAAAGUACUUUCAGCGGGGAGGAAGGGAGUAAAGUUAAUACCUUUGCUCAUUGACGUUACCCGCAGAAGAAGCACCGGCUAACUCCGU